This 253-nucleotide ribosomal RNA is filed under the name uncultured bacterium. Its description in RNAcentral is "partial 16S ribosomal RNA". It matches the Rfam family "Bacterial small subunit ribosomal RNA", at positions 524 to 776 of the family's 1533-position model. The record is from RNAcentral.
UACAGAGGUCCCGAGCGUUGUUCGGAUUCACUGGGCGUAAAGGGUGCGUAGGUGGGUUGGUAAGUCAGUGGUGAAAUCCCCGAGCUUAACUUGGGAACUGCCAUUGAUACUAUCAGUCUUGAAUACCGUGGAGGUCAGCGGAAUAUGUCAUGUAGCGGUGAAAUGCUUAGAUAUGACAUAGAACACCAAUUGCGAAGGCAGCUGGCUACACGAGUAUUGACACUGAGGCACGAAAGCGUGGGGAUCAAACAGG